GGGCAGUGUGGUCUAGGAAAAUUCAACUUGUCGCUGAUUUGUGCCUGAUGCCUGCUGUCCGUCAGCAGCCUCCCUUACAAUCUUUUUUUCUCUCUCUCCUUUUUUUUUCCUUGCCUUCUCCUUCUUCACUGAAGCCUAGGGGAGCCAGUAAAGAUUAAAUGUGCUUCUCAAAGGCAGCCACUUCAUGCUGCUAUGUCGAAAGGGCCAUUAUUAUUAUUAUAUUUUAAUGGUAAAAGAGAAAAGGAGAGAGGUUGAGCGAGCGAGAGAGAAGCUAGGUGUGAUGAUGACAGACUAGCUUUUCUGAGAGGAAAAGGAAAAGGGAAGGGAGAGAAAAAGGAGAGCCUCUGAGCUCAACGGAGGAUUGUGCCUGAGAAGAACCCACAGAGAUACAGUUAAGCUAAUGAUCUCGAGAGGAUAUCGUCCUGGAUAAGGGUGGAGCCUACGCCCAAAAACAAGAUUACCUGAAAGAGAAAAGAAAGGGGGAAAACACACAGAGAUACAGUCGGGGAGGCCACAUGAAGAUGGAGGCAGAGACAGGAGUGAUGAGCCUGCAAGCCAAGGAAUGCCAAGGGCUGCCAGCAGCCAUGAGAAGCUGAGAGACACAGAGAACGAGUCCUCUGCCAGAGCCUCCAGAAGGAACUAACCCUGUCAAUACCUUGAUUUCGGACUUCUGGACUCCAGAACUGUGAGAGAAUAUAUUUCUGUUGUUUUAAGCCAUUCAGUUUGUAGUAAUUGGUUACAAUAGCCAUGGGAAGCUAACAUAGGGUCCUUCAACAAUCAAAGCAAAAAAGAGGACCUAUUAGCACAUGGAGUGCAAAGGAGGAAGGAAUGACUGAGCUGUUUGAAAGUGCAGCGGGAUGUCAUGGGCAACCAGAACUCAGGUCCAAAUUCUGCCAGAACUCUCCCUCUGUGUUAGUCUAUUCUCACACUGCUAAUAAAGACAUACCUGAGACUGGCUGAUUUAUAAAGGAAAGAGGUUCAAUUGACUCACAGUUCUGCAGGGCUGCGGGGGGGACUCAGGAAACUUACAAUCAUGACAAAAGUGGAAGCAAACACAUCCUUCUUCACAUGGCAGCAAGGAGAAGUGCCGAGCCAAAGGAGGAAAAGCCCCUUAUAAAACCAUCAGAUUUCAUGAGAACUCACUCACUAUCAUGAGCACAGCAGCAUGGGGAUAACUGCCCCCACGAUUCAAUUACCUCCCACCAGGUCCCUACCAAGACACGUGGAGAUUAUGGGAAUUACAAUUCAAAAUGAGAUUUGGGUGGGGACACAGCCAAACCAUAUCGGUCUCUUUCCUCUCUGCUUCACUGUCAUUGAAAACUGGCAUUCUUCACUUGGCAGCAAACAUUGCUGCUAACAUCUUUUGAGUUUUUUAUUGUAUGGCUUCAAUCAUCUCAGACAUACUAACUUCCUUUCAUAUUUCCAAAUUAUCUGAAAGAAUCUUACUUUCCUAAUUUGGGUCAUGUCUCACCCUGAACUAACCAACAGAGGCUAAGCUGCCAGGAUCUUAUAAAAUAUGACAGCUCCUAAGGAAACCACUUGAAUGAGUGGAGGUGCUGGGCACCCAGGAGUCCAUCACAUGGGAUCUUUUCUGUCUGUGAUAUGAUAGCCAUUUUUUUAAGGACAACAGUGUGGCAUUUGCAAAGACAUUUGUUUUGUGGACAAGACAUGCAAGUGAAUCUGAGCUCUGCCAUUUACUGGAAGUGUGACAUUAGCAAGUCACUUGGCCUUUCUGAGCUUUCUUAUCUUGUAAAAAAUGAGGAUAGAUUGUUUGAUAAACACUCUACACCUAGAAGGAUCUCAAUAAUGUUUGUUAAUAAUGGUCAUAGAAGUAUAGAACUUAAAUGGACCUUAAAGACAGACAAGGUUAAUCACCUUAUUUUUGCAGAUGAGAUUUCAGAAUUUAAGUUGGUGAGAAAACCAGGACAAGAAUUUAGGUUACUUAACUACCAGAUUAGUGUUUCUUUGUUAUUUUAUAUGAUCUGCCCCCAUCCCUGUGGAUAUAAAAUAAGGUCUCAUCUGAAAGGUGUUAUUCAACUAAAGAAAAAGCAGCUUUCUUAGAACAGACACUGAUAUUAGGCUUUAGAUUAGAUAUUAACACAGGGAUAAAGGUGUCAAAAAAGAAAGACCAAAGAAUUGUGUUGGGAGUUAAAACGUGAAGGACACAGUCAAGUGCCUGCAAAAUCUUGCCAUUUUUGAGCCUAUAAACAGUAAUUACUUUGAGACAGCAUUCACACAAAUAAACUAUGAUGGGUUCAGACCCCUCUGAUUAUUAAGCCAUCUUGUUUACAUCCCUCUAUCCUGUGUUUCUUUUCCUUUGGCUAUCCUUAUUAUAUAAAUAAAAACAGUUAGGAAGAGCCUAUUUGCGUCAGUUUGACAAUGAGAAAAUCAGGAGAAAGGUUUUUCCUUCUUUGGGCCAAGCUUUGGUCCUUGUAAGAACAAUUGCUAAUAUGUCUAGUGACUAUAGUUCUGAUCAUUUUUAUGCUUAUAAAAGCCUGAUGCUGAAUGCCUAUGUUUUAAAAUUUUUAUAAGAUCAACUUUGCUUUCAGAUAACCCUCCUUCCUCCACCUCACAAAAACUCACAAGCUGCAACCCUUCUGAUGUCCACUCCCACACAAACCAGCUUCAGGCCUUUUUCAAGAUGUGACUGGAGUGAUUUGCACCCGGAUGCCUAGACUCGCCAUCUGCUCAAAGACUGCUCAGAAAGCCCUCCCAUGCAUUCCCCUGCUGCAUACCAGCCCACUCUGCCUGCAGCUGCUGUCUGCAGGACUUCAUAUCUAUGCCACACUGUGUAAAAGCUGUGCUUCAAGAAAUCACAAAAACAUUUUCCUGCACCUACUACACAGCCUGAGUGCGGCAUAAGUUGACCUUGCUUGCUAAGAAAUGGGGCAAGAAAUGCUUUUUUGUGUGUGUCAUGUCUGUUUGUUUUUCAAUUAAGAGAGGAAAGCAUUAGGCAGAUGGAAUGUACAUGUGAGGAUGAGGAGACAGAAAACAAGUAGCCCUUUCCAUCAAGAUAGAGGGUUUUCUGGGGUUGCUGGCUAUUGAAUGUCACUCCUGAUUUCUCUUUCCAAGGCACUGUACCACCAGCCUACUGAGAU
Long non-coding RNA from Homo sapiens (human), 3098 nucleotides. Ensembl annotates it as mir-100-let-7a-2-mir-125b-1 cluster host gene. Its record names the gene MIR100HG. The record is from Ensembl. Lineage: Eukaryota; Metazoa; Chordata; Mammalia; Primates; Hominidae.